Long non-coding RNA from Pelmatolapia mariae (spotted tilapia), 554 nucleotides. RefSeq lists it as uncharacterized. The transcript has 4 exons. NCBI's taxonomy places the organism in Eukaryota, Metazoa, Chordata, Actinopteri, Cichliformes, Cichlidae. The record is from RefSeq and is a predicted model, not a curated record.
CCCUCUCACAUUGGUACAUCCCCCCAGGUAUUGUCUUCUACAGUAGAGCGGGACAUUUGAUUUACUCUCAGCGGAAUUGACCGGAGAAGGCAUCAGUUCAUGCACUGCACUGGCCUGCACCACGAUUAGUAUAAGGCACAUUUCACGAAGCAGAACGCAGUCUUCAGAGAUAUCCACGUGAACGCUGUGAUACGUCUGACCUUCAGUCCGAAGAAGAAACUCAGACCAGUCUUAAAAGAAAGCACAAACCAAAUCCCCUGUACACAUAUACGGACUCAGAGGAUGAGCAGCCUACAAAAAAACGGUUUCCCCAGGCCCCUCGAGUGAAAAUACCAGCCCUCAUCACUCCGCAGUCUGCCCCCCAGCCCACUGAUAGCAACCAUCAUAAUGCCCCACCCAGCUUCCGGCACCUUUCGCCACUCCGGCACAAACCGACACAAACCGACACAGCUUUGCGAUCUCGCCAGCAUGCAGAGUCUGAUGUCUUCCCUAUAGAUGGUAUGCUUUUAAAAAAGCUUUAAAGCUGCAUCACAAUGUCAUUGUACUCUUAUCUU